This 1455-nucleotide ribosomal RNA is filed under the name Triticum aestivum (bread wheat). RNAcentral describes it as "partial small subunit ribosomal RNA". The record is from RNAcentral. Lineage: Eukaryota; Viridiplantae; Streptophyta; Magnoliopsida; Poales; Poaceae.
AUGGGCGAGUACUGCGCCCCGGCGGCGGAGGGGGAGCGGCCGGUGGCGGUGUCCGUGCUGCCGGUGGCGGCGGCGGGCAGGUACCUGUACGGCGACUACGACCGCGGCUCCACCAAGCAGGUCUUCGACAACCUCCACGGCAACAUCUCCCUCGACCCCUUGGCCCGUGAAUUUGUGGAUACAGAGGAAUUUCAGAGGUUGCGGGAUCUGAAACAGCUUGGCCUUACAUAUCUGGUGUUUCCUGGGGCUGUCCACACACGUUUUGAACAUUCAUUAGGUGUUUAUAGACUUGCUGGGGAGGCUAUGAACAAUCUUCAGAAGUACCAGGGAAACGAGCUUGGCAUUGACCGCAUUGAUGUGCAAACUGUGAAACUUGCAGGUCUCUUACAUGACAUUGGACAUGGCCCCUUCAGUCAUCUGUUUGAGCAUGAGUUUCUUCCUCGUGUUCAUCCAGGAUCAACAUGGUCCCAUGAACAUAUGUCUGCACUGCUUCUGGACAGCAUUGUUGAUAAACACGCAAUAGAUAUUGAACCUGAUUAUCUGAAAGUUAUCAAGGAAAUGAUAGUUGCAAGCUCUGACGUCUCCACAGCAGAAGGUGUGAAGGAGAAGCGUUUCCUUUACGACAUUGUUGCUAAUGGGCGCAACGGUAUAGAUGUUGACAAGUUCGACUACAUUGACCGUGAUUGCAGAGCAUGUGGUAUUGGCAGCAAUUUCCAGCACUGGAGGCUUUUAGAAGGUAUGCGAGUGAUGGGUGAUGAAAUAUGCUACCCUGCCAAAGACUAUCUGAGCAUCCAUAAAUUGUUCACAACACGUGCUGAUCUGCAUCGGACUGUCUAUACCCAUGCCAAAGUAAAGGCUGUUGAACUGAUGCUUGUGGAUGCACUUGUUGAAGCUAAUGAAUACUUGGGAAUAUCUUUGCAUGCAGAUGAUCCAGAGGACUUUUGGAAGUUAGAUGACACAAUCGUCAAAAGCAUCGAAACUGCUCCCAACGAUGAACUGAAGAAAGCAAAGGAAAUCAUUCAACGUAUCCGCCGAAGGGAGCUCUACAAGUUCUGCAAUCAAUAUUCUGUUCCAAAGGAUAAACUGGACCAUUUCAAGAAUAUAACUGCACAGGACAUAGUUUGCUCACAGAUAACUUCAAAGGUGCUGCUUAAGGAGGAAGACGUGGCGGUCAGCAAUGUGAAGAUUGACUUGACGCGUGGGAAGGACAACCCGCUGGAAAGCAUCAAGUUCUUCAAGGAUUUCGGAUGCGAAGAGAAGUUCCCGAUCACGGACGAACGCGUCAGCCACCUGCUGCCUGUGUGCAACCAGGACAGGAUCGUGAGGGUGUACGCCAAGAAGCCGGAGCUGGUGGACGCGGUGUCGGAGGCGUUUGAGAACCUGCAGAUGAGGAUGUACGGGGAGAAGACGCAGGUGCAUGACACGCCCACCAAGAAGAAGCGCAGGUUCAACUAG